UGAAGAAGGUUUGACAGUUGUCCCCUAUGACCACAGAGGGUGAUUCCGUUUCUGCAGAAGUCCCAGAAGUCCUGAUCCCAGCAGGUAAGCUUCCGGGGACCCAUCCAAGAAAUAAAGAAUAUUCUGCUUUUUCAAGCCUGUCAGCCACUCUUUGCCCCUUGUUUUCUUCCAGUUUUGUUGAGAUAUACUUGGUGUACGAUACUGUAUAAGUUUGCGUUAUGUAUACAGCAUAGUGACUUACGCGUAUUGCAAAUGCAAAAUGAUUACUGCUGUAAGUUUACCAUCCAUUACUUCAUAUAGUUACAAAUUUGUUUCCUUAGGAUGAGAACUUGUGCCUCUAUUCUCUCUUCUAGGAUCUUCUCUUAGCAACUUUCUUUUUUUUUUUCUUUUAAUAUAAUUUAUUGUCAAAUUGGUUUCCAUACAGCACCCAGUACGCAUCCCAACAAGUGCCCUCCUCAAUGCCCAUCACCCAUUUCCCCCCUCUCCCCCCCUCCAUCUACCCUUAGUUUGUUCUCAGUCUCUUAGGGUUUGCCUCUCUCCCUCUCUGUAACUUUUUUUUUUCCCCUUCCCCUCCCCCAUGGUCUUCUGUUAAGUUUCUCAAGAUCCACAUAUGAGUGAAAACAUAUGGUAUCUGUCUUUCUCUGACUGACUUGUUUCACUUAACAUAAUAACUUCCAGUUCCAUCCAUGUUGCUGCAAGUGGCCAGAUUUCAUUCUUACUGCCAAGUAGUAUUCCACUGUAUAUAUAAACCUCUCAGCAACUUUCAAAUAUGCUAUAAAACAGUAUUAACUGUAGUCUUAUUAUGCAUUAUAUUCCCAAUACUUAGAACUGAAAGUUCAGCCCCCUUCCUUCAACCCCUUCCCCCAGUCAGCCACCUCUGGUAACUGCAUGUCUGAUCUCUUUUUCGAGGAGUUGUUUUUGUUUUUGUUUCGUUUUUAAGAUUCCACAUACAACCGAGUUCAUUCAGUAUGUAUCUUUCUCCAUUUGACAUAUUUUGCUUACCAUAAUGACCGCAAGAUCCACCCACGUCAUUGCCCCUUUUCUAAACCGAGGUAGUCUGGAGCCUUUUUUCCCCAAAUUGUGUUCUGUGGAUCCACAGUCCCAGGGUUUGUGGCUCCUGGAGUAAAUACUACAUAGUCAGAGGGCCUGGGAAACAUUGCCCGUUCUAUUUCUCUUGGUUCACUUCAGCUAAACUUGUGCCUUUGUUUUUCCUCAAAUAUGCUAGGCACACUCCUGCCUCAGGACCUUUGCACUUGCUGUGCUGUCUCUCCAGAUAUCUGCAUGGCUAACUCUUUCAUCUUCAACUCUUCACUCAAAAUUACCUUUUCAGUGAAGUCUUCAUGUAAUGCUUUUAUAUAUCACCUCUCUGCUUUAUCAUUUUUUCUUAGCACUCACCAGUAACUUCAGUGAAUCAUGCCUCUUUCUGUUCUAUCAGUUAGAAUUGCUGAAUUCUAUUUUAAGGGUCACUAUGGCAGGGGAAAAUAAACAUGGCAAACCGUUCAUUGGCUUUUAAAGCUUCCACAGAAAAUAACACACAUCAUUUAAGCUCAUAUUACAUGGUACCAAACAAGUCUCCUGGCUCCAUGGGACUUCAAAAGGGAGAGGAAAAUGCAUUGCUGAGCCGUGCCUAAAAGGAGAACUGGAGUAUCUGGCAAUAGUUCUUCAGACAAACCCUGUUUCAUACCCAUCAAUGGCUUUCAAUGGCUCGUGGGGUUAAGUCCAAAUUCUUUCACAGAACUUCACAAUCUCUGCAUGGUCUGGCUCUUGCUUACCUCUCUUCGAUUCACAUUUCAGCUUCGAGGUCAUUUCUUUCAGGAAGCCCACCCUGAGCCCUCUGUCUGGGUGAAGGGCUCUUCAUCGGAUGUUCCUUCAGAAACUGGGGAGCUUCUCAGCACAUGACUAGUUACUUGAUUGCAUCUCUUCCUAAAAGUUUUCCUGUAACCCAUCCAUCAGUCUUAAAGUCAAUCCAAUUGGUCAUGAGCAAUAUUUUAAAGAAAGAAACGACGUAAUAGGACACAUAAUAGUGUAUCUUUAUAGUAAGUCUUAGGAAUGCUCUGAAACUUGUGUGGUCCAAUAGGUUGGGUUAACUUGAAAAAUGUAUUCCUUAAUCUGGCUGUGGUCCAACUCAUUUGAAGUCACAGCCCUACCAGGACUGGAAAUCCAGUGGGGUCUGGGGACCACCUGUUUCAUCUACCCUGACCCACCAGUGCCUAGCACAGUGCUUGUACAAAGGGACUUCAAUUUUUUUUUUUAAUUUAUGAAUUCUCCAUGACCUGAGCUACCAGCAACCUUAAUUAGAAACUGUGGAUGAGGGGCACCUGGGUAGCUCAGUCGGUUAAGCUUUUGACUUUGGCUCAGGUCAUGAUCUCAUGGUUCAUCCAUUCAAGCCCCAUGUCUGGCUCUGUGCUGACAGCUUAGAGCCUGGAUCCUGCCUCAGAUAUUCAUUCAUUCAUUCAUAUUCUCUCUCUCUCUCUCUCUCUCUCUCUCUCUCUCCUGCUCAUGCUCUGUCUCUCUCACUCUCUCUCUCAAAAAAAAAAAAAAAAAAAACCAGUGUAUGUGUUUGGGCUGGCUGUUUUUGUCACAUUUAACCUGAUGAACAGAGGUCAGCUUAGAUGCACAGCGUGAGGACUACCCUCCCUUCCUGCAUGGGUUUGCAUGGAGAGUUCUCUACCUGUCUCAGCCGCCCUCUGGGCCUGGGCAUGGAGACCUGCAAGAGCUCUUUCCUUUAUUCAAGGCCCUCCUGGUUUCCUUCUUAAAUCCAGUACCGUCCUUAUGCAUAGGAGCGGUAACAUGCUGUUACUCUGCACUAAAAUUUCACGGAGUCAGAAAAACGUGAAUUCAAAUUCCAUUUUAUUACUCCCUGGUUGCAUGAUUGCAGACAAGAUGCCUCUCUGAGCUGAAGUUUCUUCCUCUGUGAAAUAGAGGUGAUAUUCUGUUCCUUUCAGAGUCGAUGUGAGGAUUAGAGAGAAUGUUUAUUAUUCACAUCUGGCAAUGUGGGCAUUCAAUAAAUCAUGGCUAUCUAUUAUCAUUAUUAUCCUAUUGACUUUUUAAAGUACUUGAAAUCCAUCUACUAGUAACUCCUUUGAGUUAAACAUCAUUUACAACAAAAUGGUCCUGGCUUCCCUGAGAGGGUAAAGAUCUGAUGUCCUUAUCAAUGUCUUUAGUACCCCUUAGUAUCAUAAAGUAUGAACGUCUUUAGUAUCUGUAAUAUCUUCACAGUAUGAGUAUCUGUAGUAUCUUUUAUUACCUGUAUGGUAUGAAUAUCUUCAGUAUCUAUAGAAUGAGUAUCCAUAGUAUCUUUUAGUAUCUUUAUAGUAUGAAUAACUAUACCUUUUUCAGCAACGGGUCAGCCAAGAUCUGGCUUUGAUAGGAGGGAAGGAAGAGAAAUAAAGAAAAGAAGCCUGGGGUGAAGGAGGAGAGUAGCCGGAGGACACAGGAGUGUCUAGAAUUAAAUGUUUUAUCCCUUCCCUGUUCCAUUUCUGUUGCAGGAGUCUAACGGGGAUGAUGCUACAUCUUUGUGUCUAUUUCCCCAUGUAAUAUGUAUCCUUUUAGUGGUCAGCCACAUGAUUUCCAGGGACAAGUGCAAAAUAAAAGUGUAGGGCUUCUUGUUCAAAAAGGAAGAAGAAAGCUCUUUUCUUUCUCUCCCUGGAUGUGUCCUGGCGUUUAUUUGCUAUUUAGUGUGUGCCUGCUGGGGCACGGCGUACUUGUAGGCAGAUACUGACCUUCACCGGCUCAGAGGUUCGGGUUUGUGACUUGGUACAUGGGGUAUGUUCCCUGGAGCCUCCCGUACCUGCAACCCCAGGGGAGUGGGCUGCUGGGCACCUGUCCUGGGGAGGCAGGAAGUAGGAGGGUCAGAACCACCCAAGCCCAUGCUCCAAGCCCCAGCCCAUGUUCCGUGGUCCUAUCAGGCUUCACCUACAGACCCCAAAUUCAAAGAUGAAAUGAUUAAGAAUUAGAGAUGACACCUGCCGAGCUUUAAACCCCAGGCCUGGGGCUCUCUUUGGAGCACGGGUCCCUGUGCGACCACGGAGGUCACAUGAUGCACUGUGAAGCCAGCCCUGCCUUUAGCCCUGCUGAGCCCUGCUUCUGUGAUCCCGCUGUCGCUGGCCUGGCUGCUGCCGCCUUCCUCGACCUUGUCCAAACCUUCCUUCUGCAUCCCAGGACCCAGUGGGUCCCGGGGCACAAUCCCUAGAGGCUGCUGCUGCUGCACCCCUCCCUCUGCCGGAUUCUCCCUAAGGCGUCGCCAGCGGGGUGACCGUCUGCCUCCACCUGUGUGGCUCCUGGUGGGUGCAGCUGGUAGCCCAGGCCAAAAGAAAAAAAACAUGUGCUCUCUCCCAGUGUGUCUGCAGCUCCUGCUCCUAGCUCUUGUCAAGAGGUCCCUCCGAGUGAAAAACGACUAUUUGUGUACGUUAUUGAUCACCCUACCCGGGAAGAUGACUGUAACCUUUCCAUCCUGGCAGCAGCAGAACCCCCCGCUCUGCUUUGGCUGGGAGCAACCUGGAGGUUUUGAAUGGCAGCCAGGGCCGGGGGAACGUUUGCCAUGGCCAGCCUGGCCACCCGCUGGCUCUCUCGCCUUCCCUCUCCACCUGGAAAGGAAGAAGUGUUUGACAGAGAAGAGAGCAGGUUGGAUAACGAGAGUCAGUGCACAGAAGCCUCAGCUAGAGGCCCAACCCACCAUCAAAAGGAAGAAAGGAUGGCAGACGGAGGAAACUGGGUCAAGGCUCGGGAUCCGGAGUUCUCGAACCUGGGUUCAAGUCCUGGCUCAGACACUUUCAAACUGUAUGACACUGAGACUGUUGUGCUAAGUGCAGAAUGUGUAUAGAAAUAAUUCCUGCUUUGUCAUGCCUUUGAUGCGAGGAGCACAUGAGCUAAUAUGCAAAGAAAGUGCUUCUCAAGAAGCUGUAAAAAUAUUUGCCAGCCUUGUGGGAGGUAAUACAGAAAAAGAACAUAAUUCAUGAUGGUAAUACGGGUCCUACACUAUGCUUGCAUACAAAAGUAUUGGUGUUUUUGUUGGUGCAAAAUACCGUUAUUUUUGUAAUAGUAAAAUAAUAGGAUUUAACGAUUAUAAUUUAUAUAAUCCUAUGCUAUUAUGUACUUGUGUAAUGUUUAUAUAAUAUAAAUAAAAUUUACAGUAGGUUAUUAUAUUCUAAUAAAUACUGAAUGCUAU
Molecule: long non-coding RNA, 5167 nt
Filed under: Lynx pardinus (Iberian lynx)
Lineage: Eukaryota; Metazoa; Chordata; Mammalia; Carnivora; Felidae
Source: RNAcentral